This 278-nucleotide ribosomal RNA is filed under the name uncultured bacterium. RNAcentral describes it as "partial 16S ribosomal RNA". It matches the Rfam family "Bacterial small subunit ribosomal RNA", at positions 29 to 334 of the family's 1533-position model. The record is from RNAcentral.
AACGAACGCUGGCGGCAUGCCUAACACAUGCAAGUCGAACGAGACCUUCGGGUCUAGUGGCGCACGGGUGCGUAACGCGUGGGAAUCUGCCCUUGGGUUCGGAAUAACUCGCCGAAAGGCGUGCUAAUACCGGAUGAUGUCGUAAGACCAAAGAUUUAUCGCCCAGGGAUGGGCCCGCGUAAGAUUAGGUAGUUGGUGAGGUGACGGCCCACCAAGCCGACGAUGGGUAGCCGACCUGAGAGGGUGAUCGGCCACAUUGGAACUGAGAAACGGUCCAG